AGUGAACGCUGGCGGUAGGCCUAACACAUGCAAGUCGAACGGCAGCACAGUAAUAGCUUGCUCUUACGGGUGGCGAGUGGCGGACGGGUGAGGAAUACAUCGGAAUCUACUUUUUCGUGGGGGAUAACGUAGGGAAACUUACGCUAAUACCGCAUACGACCUACGGGUGAAAGCAUGGGAUCUUCUGACCUUGCGCGAUUGAAUGAGCCGAUGUCGGAUUAGCUAGUUGGCGGGGUAAAGGCCCACCAAGGCGACGAUCCGUAGCUGGUCUGAGAGGAUGAUCAGCCACACUGGAACUGAGACACGGUCAAGACUCCUAAGGGAGGCAGCAGUGGGGAAUAUUGGACAAUGGGCGGAAGCAUGAUACAGCCAUACCGCGUGGGUGAAGAAGGCCUUCGGGUUGUAAAGACCUUUUGUUGGGAAAGAAAAGCAGCAGGUUAAUACCCCGCUGUUCUGACGGUACCCAAAGAAUAAGCACCGGCUAACUUCGUG
RNAcentral lists this ribosomal RNA (492 nucleotides) under uncultured bacterium. RNAcentral describes it as "partial 16S ribosomal RNA". It matches the Rfam family "Bacterial small subunit ribosomal RNA", at positions 29 to 507 of the family's 1533-position model. The record is from RNAcentral.